UACUGGUGCUGAACACAGCUCUGGAUCAGGUGCAAAUGAGCACGGCUCUUGCUUGCCACACAGUUACACAUUUCAGGACCAUCCAGCAGAGCAGAAGUGCUUGAUCUCAGGCUCCUGUGAGCAGGGGCUAUCUCCCUAAAUCCUAUAUAGAGCCUAAAUUGGAUGAAGAAAAUACAAGAGCAGAUACAUGCCAAAGAUCUCAAAAUGGAAGUUUUGCCUCUGAAAAUAUGGACUGGGAAAAGAAAACUAAGCAUGUAGGAAAGUUAAAACCUCCAAACAAAUAUGUUGUUCUGUCAACUUGGACUUCUUGUAAACCAUCAGAUGUUGCCAGUUUUAUGGCAAAGGGAGAAAGAAGGAGGAAAUACACCCGUCUGGGGACAUGUACUGCACUGACUCAUUAAUGGAGACUGGUGUAUAUCCCACCAGUAUACAGAACAAAAGAAUGAUUCUCGGCCUGGUACUAAUUUUUAUUUUCCCUCAAUUCCACUCCUGAACUGAAAAAUUAGUUUGUAGAGUUCUGGCCACAAACAUUGUGCUAUCCUAUAUAUACAUACCCAAAAGAUUUUCUUCUACAAAGUUAACCUCAUUCCUAUAAAAUAGUUUAUUAAUAGGUGGACGGCUUGAAACAUCUUUAUAAGUUUGUCUGUUACUCAGUUAAAGGCAGAGUUCAUGAACUUGUGCACCAUCCUGCCUAUAUUACAUCCAUGUCAUUUUCUCCAAAAAUUUAUAAACAUAUAUAUCUGGUGCACUUAGUAUUUUGGAAUCAAAGCCUACAUUAAAUCUCAAGAGGUGAAAGACUCAUACGUUUGAUCUACUGCAUAAUUUGGCACUGGAUUUACCUUUUCAGUCCCCUGUGCAGUCCCCAUACACCCCAAGAUGUAUGUGAUUUAGUCAAAAACAAUUACCAAGCUUAAGACAGAGUCAGCAUGGGGAGGUUCUGUGGUUGGUAGUAGACAAUCAGGAGAGGCAAACUAUUGACUUCUACCACUAGCAAAUCUGUAUUUCUGAAAAAGUAUUAUGUUUUGACUACACCUGUUGGUAUGAGGGAGAAUCCAGAGGUGCAAACAAACCAAAACACAAUAAACCAGCUUUAGUCAGCUAAUUAAAACAACUUUAGCUCAUACACUAGUGAAUUCUUGACUCAUACAUAAAGUCCAAAGCAGAAGUUUUGCCUGAAUAUUAAAAUAAUUUUGUAAGGAAUUUAAUUGAUACAAGUGUGGAAACUAAACAUGCUGCAAAUUAUCACAUUGUGGAGUAUAUCAUGGCUUGCAGCAAAAGGUAAGCACAGUAAUGUUCACAUGGCCAGAGCACCAAUUUAUGUCCAAAUUCAGCAGAGAACUCCAUGCAACACUAAAACUUUGGAUAGUGCUAAACGCACAAGUCAAAGAAAAUAGUAAUCUUUUUCCCUGUUGCUUUUUAGAGUGUAGUUUGCUUCAACAUAUUUGCAUUCUGCUUGGAUCUCCCAAGUUAGCCCCAGGGAAGCCCGAGGAUCACACCUUCAGGGAUUUGCAGCUAAGACAGGAGUGGGCUGCUCUUCCUCUUUGUUGCCAUGGCUCCUGAAAAAUAAUUGGCAUGUUAUCACAAAUGGUGACUUUCAGCAGCUGUGGCAUGCGAGGAUUAUAGUCUUAGCAGAUAUAUCAGUUCCCCGACUGACAUUUUCAAGAGAGCUUCAUGGUGCAUGAGCAAUAUUGAAAUGUGGCCUCAGGGAUAAGAGAAAAGCCUCAUAUUUUCAUCUGGAGUGUCAAAACUACUUCUGGCAUGUAAGAGAGCAGGGACUUGGCUUUCAGAUCACUUCUUUUUCCUGAACUAGGAUACCUAGUGAUCACUGCUGAUAUCUGCCAUGAGUUCAGUUACUCAAGUGAAUAAAGAAUUUGUUAAUGGCUCUGCUUUGCAGUGGAAAAUUUUGCUGAUUGUUCCACAAUUGGUCGCAACGCUGUUACUAUUUUGAUCCAAUAUGGUAAUUAUUCAAAACUCAGUCAUCAAUGUAUAAUUUAUGUGGGCUUCUUGGAAAUGAUAAAUUUUAUUUUAACAAAAUUUCAGAGUGAAAAAUCAUGAAAGAAUAAGCUGUCUAUCUGAAGCCCAGAUAAGAACAUAAUGCAAAAAAUAAUUCAAGUCAUAUGUCCAUUUUAUUCUCCAGUCUUUUAGUUUAGAUUUUGGGGUGAUUUUUUUCUAAUUGUGAAUUCUUUGGAACUAGGGUCAUACUAUGUGCCUGCAUAUUCUGAAAUUAUUCUUAUAGUAGCUAAACUUGAAUUUGAGUCUUGGCUAGAUUUUCAGGAAAACCUAUCAGCCCCAAUCUCUGUGUUAGAGAGUUCU
This is a long non-coding RNA of Pseudopipra pipra, 2313 nucleotides long. RefSeq lists it as uncharacterized. The record is from RefSeq and is a predicted model, not a curated record. The transcript is spliced from 4 exons. Lineage: Eukaryota; Metazoa; Chordata; Aves; Passeriformes; Pipridae.